UUAUGUAGUUUUUGGGUUUUUAUUGCCCUUAAAUAUCUAUUUAUAGAUUUUCUAAAUCAAAUCUAAUUAACCAGAUUAAACCAUGAAAAAUCUGGAUAAAAGCUUAUUUUUAAAUGCCAAACGCAAUUUUUCCAGUCGCAAUAGCUAUCUUCCCAUCACUGCGUUUUCAUCAAUCUGCGUUUUCAUCAAUCUGCGUUUGAUCUAACAACUUUCAAGAUUUUCACCUUCCCUUCUUUCUAGAAAGCUUCAGUUGAAACCGUGGAGUAUAUGAACAAACCAUGGAAUGGAGUUGAAGAGAAAUGGAGAGCAGGGCCUCUCUUGCGUUACAAACUUACAGACCAUGGAGAGCAAUGUAAGUUAAAGACUUGACUUGCAGUUUAACAUCUCUCUUAUUUGUCAAAUUUAAGAGAUACGUAUGGCGAUGAAGAAAAAAGAUCGUGGGUCGUGCUGAGAAACUGCUGAUAGGAUGUGUUUUUUUUUCUAAAAAUUAUCUUGUUUUAAUUGAAAUUUUUUAUUAAGUUAUGCUCCUCCGCGUGUUCAGGACCGCAAUCUUCGUCGUGUUGUGGGUCGUGCUCAGCUCCUCUCUCGUUGCCACAGGCUAUUUCCUCCAUGAAUUUAACAGGCCAUGACCAUCUCUUCUUCAUCCGCCGCGAUUCAAGCUUCUACUGUCGCCGGUUCAUCAUCAACGCCUCGCCGUCGUAGCCAACGGAGAUCGGGAUCUCGGAAUCGCAGAGAAAGCUUGACCACGAGCAACCGUGGUCAACUUUAGCUUAUUUGCGCAUCUGGUCCUUUCUCUUUCAGAUAUUAUCAAAUUGACCCAGAAACCUUUGAAAAUGCUAAUACGUCCUCACGAAUCAACCCCAAACUUUCGAUUAAACAUUCUACACCUCCUCCUAAUUGAACAAUGGUCCCUCCUCUUUUGGUGGUUUUCAAAGCGGCCACAAACUUUGUAAUUUGCAAGAUUAACCUCACGAGUUUGCCCCAAACUUCUCAAACGUGCACUUUAGUUUCUGUCAAAUGCAAAUGAACAUAUAAAUGCAAUACAUACAUCUAAAUGUUUCCUAAAAUAAUUAAAAUGAACUAAAAACAAGUGUUAAAAAGCUAUAAAAACAU
Molecule: long non-coding RNA, 1113 nt
Filed under: Brassica napus (rape)
Lineage: Eukaryota; Viridiplantae; Streptophyta; Magnoliopsida; Brassicales; Brassicaceae
Description: long non-coding RNA (BNAP_LNC017742)
Source: RNAcentral